UACAGAGGGUGCGAGCGUUGUCCGGAAUCACUGGGCGUAAAGGGCGCGUAGGCGGCUCGGUCAGCGUGCGGUGAAAGCCCGGGGCUCAACCCCGGGUCGGCCGUGCGAACUGCUGGGCUAGAGCACUGUAGAGGCAGGUGGAAUUCCGGGUGUAGCGGUGGAAUGCGUAGAGAUCCGGAAGAACACCGGUGGCGAAGGCGGCCUUCUGGACAGUGACUGACGCUGAGACGGCGAAAAGCGUGGGGAGCAAACAGG
This 255-nucleotide ribosomal RNA is filed under the name uncultured bacterium. RNAcentral describes it as "partial 16S ribosomal RNA". It matches the Rfam family "Bacterial small subunit ribosomal RNA", at positions 524 to 776 of the family's 1533-position model. The record is from RNAcentral.